RNAcentral lists this ribosomal RNA (492 nucleotides) under uncultured bacterium. RNAcentral describes it as "partial 16S ribosomal RNA". It matches the Rfam family "Bacterial small subunit ribosomal RNA", at positions 29 to 507 of the family's 1533-position model. The record is from RNAcentral.
AGUGAACGCUGGCGGUAGGCCUAACACAUGCAAGUCGAACGGCAGCACAGUAAGAGCUUGCUCUUACGGGUGGCGAGUGGCGGACGGGUGAGGAAUACAUCGGAAUCUACUUUUUCGUGGGGGAUAACGUAGGGAAACUUACGCUAAUACCGCAUACGACCUACGGGUGAAAGCAGGGGAUCUUCGGACCUUGCGCGAUUGAAUGAGCCGAUGUCGGAUUAGCUAGUUGGCGGGGUAAAGGCCCACCAAGGCGACGAUCCGUAGCUGGUCUGAGAGGAUGAUCAGCCACACUGGAGCUGAGACACGGUCCAGACUCCUACGGGAGGCAGCAGUGGGGAAUAUUGGACGAUGGGCGCAAGCCUGAUCCAGCCAUACCGCGUGGGUGAAGAAGGCCUUCGGGUUGUAAAGCCCUUUUGUUGGGAAAGAAAAGCAGCAGGUUAAUACCCCGCUGUUCUGACGGUACCCAAAGAAUAAGCACCGGCUAACUUCGUG